CCUACGGGAGGCAGCAGGGGGGAAUAUUGGACAAUGGGCGAAAGCCUGAUCCAGCCAUGCCGCGUGUGUGAAGAAGGUCUUCGGAUUGUAAAGCACUUUAAGUUGGGAGGAAGGGCAGUAAGCGAAUACCUUGCUGUUUUGACGUUACCGACAGAAUAAGCACCGGCUAACUCUGUGCCAGCAGCCGCGGUAAU
Molecule: ribosomal RNA, 194 nt
Filed under: uncultured bacterium
Lineage: Bacteria
Description: partial 16S ribosomal RNA
Rfam family: Bacterial small subunit ribosomal RNA
Source: RNAcentral